GAUGAACGCUGGCGGCGUGCCUAAUACAUGCAAGUCGAGCGAACAGACGAGGAGCUUGCUCCUCUGACGUUAGCGGCGGACGGGUGAGUAACACGUGGAUAACCUACCUAUAAGACUGGGGUAACUUCGGGAAACCGGAGCUAAUACCGGAUAAUAUAUUGAACCGCAUGGUUCAAUAGUGAAAGACGGUUUUGCUGUCACUUAUAGAUGGAUCCGCGCCGCAUUAGCUAGUUGGUAAGGUAACGGCUUACCAAGGCAACGAUGCGUAGCCGACCUGAGAGGGUGAUCGGCCACACUGGAACUGAGACACGGUCCAGACUCCUACGGGAGGCAGCAGUAGGGAAUCUUCCGCAAUGGGCGAAAGCCUGACGGAGCAACGCCGCGUGAGUGAUGAAGGUCUUCGGAUCGUAAAACUCUGUUAUUAGGGAAGAACAAAUGUGUAAGUAACUAUGCACGUCUUGACGGUACCUAAUCAGAAAGCCACGGCUAACUACGUG
RNAcentral lists this ribosomal RNA (497 nucleotides) under uncultured bacterium. Its description in RNAcentral is "partial 16S ribosomal RNA". It matches the Rfam family "Bacterial small subunit ribosomal RNA", at positions 28 to 507 of the family's 1533-position model. The record is from RNAcentral.